Molecule: ribosomal RNA, 229 nt
Filed under: uncultured bacterium
Lineage: Bacteria
Description: partial 16S ribosomal RNA
Rfam family: Bacterial small subunit ribosomal RNA
Source: RNAcentral
UACGAGGGUCCUAGCGUUGUUCGGAAUCAUUGGGCGUAAAGCGGGUGUAGGCGGCUUUGCAAGUCAGGUGUGAAAUCCCAGGGCUUAACCCUGGACGUGCAUUUGAAACUGCAUUGCUUGAGUGUUGGAGAGGUUCGUGGAAUUCCUGGUGUAGUGGUGAAAUACGUAGAUAUCAGGAGGAACAUCGGUGGGAANCCGGCGAACUGGCCAAACACUGACGCUCAGCCCG